RNAcentral lists this ribosomal RNA (327 nucleotides) under uncultured soil bacterium. Its description in RNAcentral is "bacterial SSU rRNA". It matches the Rfam family "Bacterial small subunit ribosomal RNA", at positions 26 to 336 of the family's 1533-position model. The record is from RNAcentral.
AGAUUGAACGCUGGCGGCAUGCCUUACACAUGCAAGUCGAACGGCAGCACGGGAGCAAUCCUGGUGGCGAGUGGCGAACGGGUGAGUAAUAUAUCGGAACGUGCCCAGUCGUGGGGGAUAACGCAGCGAAAGCUGUGCUAAUACCGCAUACGAUCUAUUGGAUAGAAAGCGGGGGAUCGCAAGACCUCGCGCGAUUGGAGCGGCCGAUAUCAGAUUACGCGUAGGUUGGGUAGGGGUAAAACGCCCUAACCGAAGGUCGACGAUCUGUAGCUGGUCUGGAGACGGACGACCAGCCACACGUAGGAACUGAGACCGACGUACCCAGAC